Molecule: ribosomal RNA, 464 nt
Filed under: uncultured bacterium
Lineage: Bacteria
Description: partial 16S ribosomal RNA
Rfam family: Bacterial small subunit ribosomal RNA
Source: RNAcentral
CGAACGCUGGCGGCGUGCUUAACACAUGCAAGUCGAACGGAAAGGCCCUGCUUGCAGGGUACUCGAGUGGCGAACGGGUGAGUAACACGUGGGUGAUCUGCCCUGCACUUCGGGAUAAGCUUGGGAAACUGGGUCUAAUACCGGAUAGGAACCAUCUUUAGUGUGGUGGUUGGAAAGUUUUUUCGGUGUAGGAUGAGCUCGCGGCCUAUCAGCUUGUUGGUGGGGUAAUGGCCUACCAAGGCGGCGACGGGUAGCCGGCCUGAGAGGGUGUACGGCCACAUUGGGACUGAGAUACGGCCCAGACUCCUACGGGAGGCAGCAGUGGGGAAUAUUGCACAAUGGGCGCAAGCCUGAUGCAGCGACGCCGCGUGGGGGAUGAAGGCCUUCGGGUUGUAAACUCCUUUCGCUAGGGACGAAGCGUUGUUGUGACGGUACCUAGAUAAGAAGCACCGGCUAACUACGUG